RNAcentral lists this long non-coding RNA (484 nucleotides) under Rattus norvegicus (Norway rat). Its description in RNAcentral is "long non-coding RNA NONRATT030219". Lineage: Eukaryota; Metazoa; Chordata; Mammalia; Rodentia; Muridae. The record is from RNAcentral.
GCCAGUGGAAGGGAAGAGAAGGGGAGAGUGUCCUAAGUAGGUGGGUGCGAGCCCUCCAUGAUUCCUUGAACCUGCUCACUGGCUCUCUGGCCCUUUCUCUUGAUUUCAACAAAAAGAGUGCCAAGAAGAGCCUAGGUGAGGAAGGCCCUACUUCUGCAAAGACCCCAAAUAGGAGCAAAUAUGUCCUCUCUUAUAUCAUCAGGCCUCCACUGACUCCAUGAUGAAAGCAGACACAAGCAGUUGAUUAUGAGAAAUGAGUUAUUUUAUAGAAUAAUCUUUGAAGCUUUCUAUAGGUAAUUAACCUCUUUCACUGUUUGGGUUUUCUUCAGUUUGUAUUCAAGACCAGGUCCUACAAAGAGAGAACGAUACAUGAGGAAUUGGCUAAAAAUCUGAGUGAUCUUUUGAAGUCAAAUGAUUCAACAAUAGUCAAGCAUGUUCUAAAGCAUUCUUGGUUCUUCUUUGCCAUUAUUCUAAAAUCAAUGGC